UUUGGAAGCUCUCCACUUGGAAAAAAAAACUUUCAUAAUUGUUGAAUUUCCAUCUUUACCUUCACUUUAUUUGUAUGUUUACUAUUUUAUAAACUAAUGUGUUAACUUGGCUGUGAAAUUGAGUUUUAUAUCAUGGAGCAUUACCAUUUCUGUGUUUUUCUGUGAUAUCAUAGUUUUUCAAAAUAUCUGUUGUCAGCGUGUGUAUAGACCUUUAUAUGACCUUUUGAAGAUGACAACAUCAUUGACAGGUCCCUACUGGGCUCCUUGAACAGUUAUCAUGACUUUUUGGUGUCAUUAAAU
This 300-nucleotide long non-coding RNA is filed under the name Mytilus galloprovincialis (Mediterranean mussel). The record is from RNAcentral. Lineage: Eukaryota; Metazoa; Mollusca; Bivalvia; Mytilida; Mytilidae.